UACGUAGGUGGCGAGCGUUGUCCGGAUUUACUGGACGUAAAGGGAGCGUAGGCGGACUUUUAAGUGAGAUGUGAAAUACCCGGGCUCAACUUGGGUGCUGCAUUUCAAACUGGAAGUCUAGAGUGCAGGAGAGGAGAAUGGAAUUCCUAGUGUAGCGGUGAAAUGCGUAGAGAUUAGGAAGAACACCAGUGGCGAAGGCGAUUCUCUGGACUGUAACUGACGCUGAGGCUCGAAAGCGUGGGGAGCAAACAGGAUUAGAUACCCCGGUA
This 269-nucleotide ribosomal RNA is filed under the name uncultured prokaryote. RNAcentral's name for it is "partial 16S ribosomal RNA". It matches the Rfam family "Bacterial small subunit ribosomal RNA", at positions 524 to 792 of the family's 1533-position model. The record is from RNAcentral.